UACAUGUGGGGCAAGCGUUGUUCGGAAUUACUGGGCAUAAAGGGUGCGUAGGUGGCUUGUUAAGUCAGGGGUGAAAGUUUUCGGCCCAACCGGAAAAUGGCCUUUGAUACUGGCGAGCUUGAGUGCGUGAGGGGUAACCGGAACGAGCAGUGUAGCGGUGAAAUGCGUAGAUAUCAGGAGGAACACCUGUGGUGUAGACGGCUUUCUGGACCAUAGCUGACGCUGAGACACGAAAGCGUGGGUAGCAAACAGG
Molecule: ribosomal RNA, 253 nt
Filed under: uncultured bacterium
Lineage: Bacteria
Description: partial 16S ribosomal RNA
Rfam family: Bacterial small subunit ribosomal RNA
Source: RNAcentral